CGCUGGCGGCGUGCCUAACACAUGCAAGUCGAGCGAGGAGAUCCUUCGGGAUGAUCCUAGCGGCGGACGGGUGAGUAACACGUGGGCAACCUGCCUCAUAGAGAGGAAUAGCCUUCCGAAAGGAGAUUAAUACCUCAUAACAUUGCAGUUUCGCAUGGAACAGCAAUUAAAGGAGCAAUCCGCUAUGAGAUGGGCUCGCGGCGCAUUAGCUAGUUGGUGAGGUAACGGCUCACCAAGGCGACGAUGCGUAGCCGACCUGAGAGGGUGAUCGGCCACAUUGGGACUGAGACACGGCCCAGACUCCUACGGGAGGCAGCAGUGGGGAAUAUUGCACAAUGGGGGAAACCCUGAUGCAGCAACGCCGCGUGAGUGAUGACGGCCUUCGGGUUGUAAAGCUCCGUCUUCAGGGACGAUAAUGACGGUACCUGAGGAGGAAGCCACGGCUAACUACGUGCCAGCCGCCGC
This 465-nucleotide ribosomal RNA is filed under the name uncultured bacterium. RNAcentral describes it as "bacterial SSU rRNA". It matches the Rfam family "Bacterial small subunit ribosomal RNA", at positions 34 to 518 of the family's 1533-position model. The record is from RNAcentral.